CUGAUUUUAGUUUAAGUAGUAGAAUAAUAGUUUUGGGGACUGUUGGUCCCUAUCGGGAGAUCAGA
Molecule: transfer RNA, 65 nt
Filed under: Ligula intestinalis
Lineage: Eukaryota; Metazoa; Platyhelminthes; Cestoda; Diphyllobothriidea; Diphyllobothriidae
Description: tRNA-Pro
Source: RNAcentral